AACGAACGAGACUCUAACCUGCUAAAUAGUACACGUGCAACGUUAUGUGGUAUUCAUGGAUGGGCCUCGGUCUGUUCGUGGAGCCAUGUAAGCAGGCGAAACUUCUUAGAGAGACUGGUGUCCUAUAAGGCACACGAGAAAGAGCAAUAACAGGUCUGUGAUGCCCUAAGAUGUCCGGGGCCGCACGCGUGUUACAAUGACGAUGUUAAUGAGUAUGCAUUCCUGGCUCGGAAGAGUCGGGUAAACUUUUUAAUCAUCGUCGUGACUGGAAUUGGGGUUUGUAAUUAUUCCCCAUGAACCAGGAAUUCCUAGUAAGUACAAGUCAUUAGCUUGUGCUGAUUACGUCCCUGCCCUUUGUACACACCGCCCGUCGCUACUACCGAUUGAAUGGUUUAGCAAGGCCACUGGAUCGGCGUUUAUGCGGCGUCAGUCGCUGAAUGCUGAGAAGAUGACCGAACUUGAUCGUUUAGAGGAAGUACAAGUCGUAACAAGGUUUCCGUAGGUGAACCUGCGGAAGGAUCAUU
This 524-nucleotide ribosomal RNA is filed under the name Lamellodiscus baeri. RNAcentral's name for it is "bacterial SSU rRNA". It matches the Rfam family "Eukaryotic small subunit ribosomal RNA", at positions 1330 to 1830 of the family's 1831-position model. The record is from RNAcentral. Lineage: Eukaryota; Metazoa; Platyhelminthes; Monogenea; Dactylogyridea; Diplectanidae.